This 4438-nucleotide long non-coding RNA is filed under the name Sus scrofa (pig). RNAcentral describes it as "lncRNA (ENSSSCG00055001596.1)". Lineage: Eukaryota; Metazoa; Chordata; Mammalia; Artiodactyla; Suidae. The record is from RNAcentral.
AGACACUGUAGAUGACCAGGGUUAGUCAUCUUAAGAAAAUGUUGUAUAAAGUAGGGGACAAGCUGGAAGGUCAAGGAGAAACUCGGUCCCAAAAGGACAAACUGGAUGUCAUGAAGACAAACUGGAACCUGCAUCUGUGAUUCCCUGCAUGCAAUCCCAGUGAAGUGGACAAUGCAUGGGAGGGGCUGGAGCUUUCACCAUGAGGCUAUAGGCCCAUCUGGACCAAAUCUUGGAGAAGCUGAAGAAGGAGACGGUAAGAACUGGAGGACUGUGGCCUGGUUGCUGCCAAUGCCCUUGAGGUGAGCCCUGAGAUCAGUGACAUCAUGCACAGUCUGCACGAUGCCCAAAUCCCUGCAGUUACUCAGGGUGUGUAGCUCCUGCUUCCAAAUCUUGUAUGUAUUUCUCUUGUGACCAACCCUUGCUGAACUCAUACAAGGAGCAGAAUUCUUGGAAAUGUAGGUCUAGUUUAGCUAAAUGACAGAGUGGCUCCAGGAAGUGCAAUCAGUGCAAACCCUGCACAGCCAUCCAUAGCAUCCCCUGCAGCAGAGGACUUUGUGACUAGACUUUGGGACUCCAGGACUUUGGGAUCUAGACUUUGGGACUUCAGGAGUUGUAGGCUUUUAACGAUGUGGCAUUACCUUCUUCCAUGUGAGACAGUAUGUCUCAUAUUCAUAUAUCUCUCAAUACCUGCCACAGAAAGUAAGUGCUUACUAAAUAUUUAGUAAAUAAUUCACAUGGAAUUGCAUAAACCUGACCUGGAAGUGACUACAGAGUACAAUUCUUACAUUCUCUCUAUUGACCAGACUGCAACAAAGCCCACAGGUUGGAAAAUAAAUCACCACUUUUGACCAGAGAAAAAUAGAAUGAGCUCUGUGUCAUUGAAACACCUUGCCUUCAGGAGAGCAGAACUAAGUUUCCUAUCUCUAAAUGUAAGCAUUUGUGUUUUAGCAUUUCUAGACCAGCAUCACCUGGAAACUUGUUAAAAAUGAACAUUCUGGAGUUCCCGUCAUGGUGCAGUGGAAACAAAUCCGACUAGGAAUCAUGAGGUUGUGGGUUCGAUCCCUGGCCUCGCUCAGUGGGUUAACGAUCCGGCAUUGCCGUGAGCUGUGGUGUAGGUCGCAGAUGCGGCUUGGAUCUGGCAUUGCUGUGGCUCUGGUGAAGGCUGGCAGCAACAGAUCCAAUUAGAUCCCUAGCCUGAGAACCUCCAUAUGCCAUGGGUGCAGCCCUAAAAGGACAAAAGACAAAAGACAAAAAUAAAUAAAUAAAUAAAUAAACAUUCUCAAAUUUUAGCGCAGAUCCACUGAAUCAUAAAUUCUGGAGUACGGGGCCCAGAAAUCUGUGUUUGGACUAGUGUUCUCACCCCAGGUGAUUUUGAUGCAUGCUGAAGUUUGAGAACCACUGAUCUAGAAAUGCUGAAAUUCCUGGGCAAGUGAAUAAAAAGAGAAGUUGAAGUAUUCCUCUUUUGGUGAAUCUGCACAUUUGGUGAAUAAAAUAAUUGAUAUAAGAAACUAUGGGGCUGAAAUUUAGAUAAUUAAGGAAACUAUGUAAGAGUGGAAAUGGCAGAAAGCAGCCAGGAGAAUCAAGUGCUCUUAGGAACAAGCAUGCCAUGCGGUUGUAAAUAAAAGCAGCAUCACUUGGAAGUAUUGUGGGGGAAAUCCCUUCUAGGGUGGUAUAUGGCAGGACAUUUUCCAGGGAUGCUCUGGACCGCUAAGUUGCCUAUUUUUUUUCUUUAAUUUUUUUUUAUUGAGUAUGGUUGAUUUACAAUGUUGUACCAAUUUCUGCUGUACAUCAAAGUGACCCACUCAUACAUGCAUAUAUACAUUCACCUUCUUACAUUAUUUUCCAUCAUGUUCUAUCCCAAGAGACUGGAUAUAGUUCCUGUGCUAUACAGUAGGACCUUAUUUAAAAACACUGCAAUAAUUUGACCAUCUUUCAAAUGAUCUACACUUGCUUGUAAAUUGCAAACUUCAACCUCGGCACUGGGCUUUUUUAACCAGUUGUGUUUGUUUGUUUGGGGUGUUUUUUUUUUGUUUUUUGUUUUUUUUUUUCCUAUUUCCUAUUAUUGAGAACCUCUGGCUAAACUGAAGAAGUAUAUCAUGAGUUCUCACCCUGUUACUCAGGCACUUUGAUGUAAACUUUCAUGAAAAGGUGACACUGCUGAAUUGUCCUCCCUAGUUCAUGUGUGGUCACAUCUCUCCUCAAGAAUGCCCUAGUCCUUUUGAGGGAAUGUCCGUCCUUGUAGAAUCAACCCUAAACAAGGCCUGGAGUUAACUCGAUUCUGAUUAGGGCUGGAAUUCUCAGCUGCCUUACCUCCAUCUGUCUGCAGCCCCUUCGUAACCUAGUCCUAGCAUCACUAGCUUGAGAUUCCUGCUUCAUUUCUCUUCACAUCCAUGCACAUACCUCUCCAACUCAAUGUAUGACAAUUUAGUAGGAUAAUAUUUUAAAGUGCAAAUCACUGUGGAGGAUUUUUCACCUUUUAUUACCUCCUUGAUCUUCUGGUCUUCUGCCCCUACCAUCAAAGUUGAAGACAUAAUUUUCUGUGGCUUUUCUGUUCCAUCAUGGUAAAUCUCUGGGGGAUCUCAGUAGAUAGGCCCAACAGCUCAAGAAGGAAGACUGGGCUACAGAUAAAAUGCCUUAGUAAAAAAUGUAGAAGGGAAGAAAUAUAUCUUUGGUUGAGGGUUGAAUAUUCAAAAGGGAGAGCAAGGAAGGACGGGGAUACAGCUUCUAUAUAGCUUGAUAGUGAGGAAGGGCUUCAGAAAUAAGAUGGUUUACCAGGCAUGUCUAAGCCAAUGGGAACAGAGGAAGCUUCAAAGAAGGAUGCCAAGGCCCUAAUCCUGAAACAGAUGAAACUGAGAGUUUCCAGAACAGUAAGGUCUUGGCAUAACUCUGUGGAAAAAUGACUCAUGACUAGUCCCAGAGCAUCCUUUCCAAACACCUUGUCUCUGCGUAAAAUUCCAGAAGUGGACCAUGGAAAGCAGCCAAGGUCAAAUUUUCCUCUAAACCUAUGAAAUGGGUUGAUUUAUGGAAAAAGAGAUUGGUGUUUCUUGUAUAACUAACUGUAUAGAAUGAAGCUACUACUUCCUAAGACUUCGCCUUUUCUUCUCACUGUGAUUAUAGCUUUUCAAUGACUUAAUUUUGAUAAAAAAUUGUGCCGUAUAUGGAAGACCUACCAUCUGGAAAUAACUUAAACAUGCUAGCUUGGCUACUUCUAAACGUCAAUUGCCAAAGAAGGGGGAUAAUUGGAGGAGGAGGCAAAUGUAAUCAAAUUCCAGAUUUAGUCACUGUAACUGAGUACAUAAAUUUCAAAUUGGACAGGUACUCUAUCUUUGUUACUAGUAGUGCUUCUGCCGUGGUUCUAACUUGGUAGCUUGUUCUUCUUAGCCUAGUACAUGAGUCAGGUGGGUGUAGACUGCUAUAUACACAGAUUGCAAUAAAGUAUAAUAUUAUAGAUAAACAGAAUUAAGUCCAAUAUAGUGGAAAGAUAGAAGAGGGAGUCAUUCAUUUGUGGAAUGGAGCAGGUAUCAGUCAAAGUCCCAACACAAAGCAGAUGGGGAACUUAGAAUAAUUCUAGGAGAAUAUUUUUAAAAGAAAAGUGUAGGUGUAAAGAAAUACAGGGCAAAGAACCUUCAUCCACGGCAUAGAAGAAGCUGAGCUAUUAUCAUCCAAGGUCCAAAGGACAGGAGAAAGUACCAGGGGAGAAAAUUUUGUGUAGCACCAGAGGCCUUGAAAGGAACAGUGGUCUUCAUUGGAGAUAAGGCCAGACAUGAGAUCACAGGAAGAAUCUGGGGGAAUAUAUCCCAAGACCUCACCCUCUUGCCUUUUCCCUAUCUUCUCCCAGAGGUCCCCACAAAUGAACCCAGCUUGAAGUCACAAAACUUGAGAAUCUAGGUGAUGUAGUCCAUGAACUCGCCUUUCCAGGGAGAGGUAGUGGCAUGAAAGACAGGGUGUAUCUGAAGAAAAGUGGGAUAGAAAUAGUGUCUCCAAGAAGGUGAUACCUCAGCAACAUUUUGAAGGCUCCAUAGGUGUUUGUCAGAUACAUAAUGGAAAGGAUUCACAUAGAUUUACUCUCCAAAUUGACUUUACAUUAAUAAAAUGACAAAUUCUGACAUUGUCUGAACACAUGUCCACCUACUUGAAUAGCAAGGCUGUAAGGGAUAGGCCAGAGCAUCUUCACCUGAGGACACUGACUUUCUUAAGAGAUCAUAUAUUAAUACUGUGUCACCUGUUGUUAUGAAUUGAACUGUGCCCACCCUCUCACAAAGAUGUUGAAUUCUUAACCGCCAGUACUGUGACUGUGACCUUAUUUGGAAAUGAGACUUUUGCAGAUGAUCGAGUAAAGAAUAGGUCCUUAGGGUGGAUCCUAACCCAAUAUAGUCGUGUCCUCAUAAAAAGAGGAAAUUUAAAAAAAAAAGAAUAAAAAAAACUAGAAAAUUCCUAU